This 663-nucleotide ribosomal RNA is filed under the name Triticum aestivum (bread wheat). RNAcentral's name for it is "partial small subunit ribosomal RNA". The record is from RNAcentral. Lineage: Eukaryota; Viridiplantae; Streptophyta; Magnoliopsida; Poales; Poaceae.
AUGUAUAAUAUUCUUCAAAGCUUUUGCGAUCUCUCUGGUCAAACUCCCAAUUGGAGCAAAUCGGGUAUAAUUUUCAGCCAAAAUGUCAGCAACACCACUAAAGAGGACAUUAAGAGGAUUUUUCCUGUAAUAGAUAUAAAUGAAAACUCAGUGCACUUAGGACACCCCUUAAUCCUCCCUGCUAAAGACAGAUCUGCUGCUUAUGAUUUUGUAGCCGAUAAAUUUCGUACUAAACUUACAGGCUAUAAAGCAAACAAACUUUCCCAUGUAGCAAUACUUACUCUCAUUACUUCUGUCUUCGCAUCAAUUCCUGUAUAUUAUAUGUCUAAUAUCCUUUUUUCAAGGAAAUUGGUUGCAAAACUGACAGCCAUUAUAAGGAAUUUUUGGUGGACAGGAAUAAAAGAAGAGCCAACAACAAAAACUAUUUGCCUCAGGGCUUGGAAGGACAUUUGUAUUCCAAAGUGUGAAGGAGGUUUAGGUAUUCGAAAUAUCCAAGCAAUGAAUAGAGGACUCAUUCUCUCAGCAGCUUGGAGAAUAGCAGAAAAUCCAGACAGCUUCUUGUCUAAAGUCCUAAAAUCCAAAUACCACCCAGACACUUCUAUAUGGAGGGCGAACUCCAGCAUCCCAAAAUCUGCCUUUUGGUCUUCUAUCUUAAAAGUUUGA